UGUGUGUGUGUGUGUGUGUGUGUUUGUUUUUAUUACAUGGUGGGGACCUCAGCAUGUUAGCACACUCACAAAGUGGGGACCAAAAACAUAGUGGGGACCGUACGCCUGGUCCCCACUAUGUUUUGCCUUUAAAAGACUCAGGGGGCGUUGCUGAUAUGCCUAGUGCUGUUUUUUUCAUUGAUCCCCACCUUGACCAAUCACCUGAUUUGAGUGUGUGAGUGUGUGUCGGCGCACUGCUCUAUAGCGCCCCUGUAGUCGGAUGGCGGUACUGCACCCUCACACACACUUGGCGCAAUAUACACACUCUAGCUAUUGCACAUGCGCAGAUCUCCUGAAUAAAUCCGACUUUAAUUAAAUUAAUUAAGGUUCAUCAAAUUAAUCGAGGUUUGCGGGUAAGUUAGAAUGUUUUUCAUCAUCAUAAUGUAAUAAAAUCGGUUAUAUGACGAAUAUUUCUGUUGCAUACUUUUGACAGUUAUCAGGUAAAGUUACAUGUUUUAACUAAUUUCCUGGGUGUUUUAAUCGAUGUUGUUUCAAAUUACGUAUUAAUAAAACAUUGAUAAGACACAAACUACAGUUCGGUAUGUAAUUUAACUUGUUUACACGAGUAAAAGUUACUCGCGCUAAUGUGCUAACGUGCUAACUGCCCGGUGCUGCGUGAAUCAGAGGCCGGAGUGAAGUGCGUGAGCCGCGGCCGGACGGUCACCACGCCCCGGGCGUCUAAAUGGAUCGACGGAGGAUAAAAUCAUUAAAAGAUGCGGAGAAACACAUCACCAGCUCCACUGACAAGACCCAUUCACUGGAAACCGAUUAUAUAGAAGGUUACUAAGUUUUGCGGCAUUGAUGCCGCUCGUGGCGGGACCCUCGGCCGGCUGGUGAAUGAUGACUAUCUGCACCCAAACUGCACUGUCAAUAAGAUUGUUGUUCAGAGAAAAACAUCACUUGUGCCUUUUUGCAAUCAGGGACAUUUUCCCUGGAGAGGAAAUAACUUUUGACUAUGGCGCAUGUGAUUGGCCUUGGAGAAAGCUUUCAUUGAAGGAUAACCAUAUGACUGCAGAAGAGAACUGCUCCCACAACUCUCUGAUGAGCUUUUAUUGAAGAAUGACCAAAUGACAGAACUGCUCUGCUCCAGUAGGAGUCCCACAACUCUCUGAUGAGCUUUUAUUGAAGAAUGACCAAAUGACAGAAAGAGAGAACUGCUCUGCUCCAGUAGGAGUCCCACAACUCUCUGAUGAGCUUUUAUUGAAGAAUGACCAUAUGACACAAGAGAGAAGUACUCUGCUCCAGUAGGAGUCCAACAACUCUCUGAUGAGAGAAAGUUACAGUGGAUCGUGUUUUUGGAGAAGGUGAAGUCCAGUCUAAAAGAGUCCCCUCAAGUAUCAUCACCAUGGUACAGUGUCUGUGAAGAUAGUGAAGCAGACCCAGCAUUCACAAAAAAAAGAGAGGUCCCAUAAGGAGAAGACCCUGGAGCAAACAGGAAGUACAUGCUGUGGUGAAAGCUGAACCAUUAGUUCUAAAAACCAGAGAUUGGUCAGAUUUGGAUUUUUAUAUUAAAAACUGAAUCUUGUCUCUUUAAAGAGAAAUCUGGGUAACACUUUUAUAGUAACUACACACUAUAAAUCAUUUGUUUAGCACUAACUCUACAUUAAUAGACUUUGGUAAGCAGUUUAUAAAUACAGCUACAAAGGCUGUGUUCUUGACUUGACUUAAUUGUAUUUUCAUGCUUUGUUACUGAUUUAUUUUUCAUUACUAAAUUAAGUAUUGCAUUAUUUACAAAC
Molecule: long non-coding RNA, 1775 nt
Organism: Danio aesculapii
Lineage: Eukaryota; Metazoa; Chordata; Actinopteri; Cypriniformes; Danionidae
Exons: 9
Source: RefSeq, a predicted model, not a curated record